UACGAAGGGGGCUAGCGUUGCUCGGAAUGACUGGGCGUAAAGGGCGCGUCGGCGGCUUACAUAGUUAGGCGUGAAAUUCCUGGGCUCAACCUGGGGACUGCGUCUAAUACAUGUAGGCUUGAGUGUGAAAGAGGGUCGCGGAAUUUCCAGUGUAGAGGUGAAAUUCGUAGAUAUUGGAAAGAACACCGGUGGCGAAGGCGGCGACCUGGUCCUUGACUGACGCUGAGGCGCGAAAGCGUGUGGAGCAAACAGG
This 253-nucleotide ribosomal RNA is filed under the name uncultured bacterium. RNAcentral's name for it is "partial 16S ribosomal RNA". It matches the Rfam family "Bacterial small subunit ribosomal RNA", at positions 524 to 776 of the family's 1533-position model. The record is from RNAcentral.